CCUACGGGAGGCAGCAGUAGGGAAUAUUGCUCAAUGGGGGAAACCCUGAAGCAGCAACGCCGCGUGGAGGAUGAAGGUUUUCGGAUUGUAAACUCCUUUUGUUAGAGAAGAUAAUGACGGUAUCUAACGAAUAAGCACCGGCUAACUCCGUGCCAGCAGCCGCGGUAAUACGGAGGGUGCACGCGUUACUCGGAAUCACUGGGCGUAAAGAGCGCGGAGGCGGGAUAGCAAGUCAGAUGUGAAAUCCUAUGGCUUAACCAUAGAACUGCAUUUGAAACUGGUCUUCUAGAGUAUGGGAGAGGUAGGUGGAAUUCUAGGUGUAGGGGUAAAAUGCGUAGAGAUCAAGAGGAAUACUGAUUGCGAAGGCGACCUGCUAGAACAUAACUGACGCUGAUGCGCGAAAGCGUGGGGAGCAAACAGGAUUAGAUACCCGUGUAGUC
This 440-nucleotide ribosomal RNA is filed under the name uncultured bacterium. RNAcentral's name for it is "partial 16S ribosomal RNA". It matches the Rfam family "Bacterial small subunit ribosomal RNA", at positions 338 to 795 of the family's 1533-position model. The record is from RNAcentral.